AAAAAGGGUUUCUGCUGUGAAUAGCACACGGAGGGUGACUAUUGUUAUCCUUCGUGCGGAAUCGCAAUCAAGAGAUUUCGGAAGCAUAAUUUUUAAUACCGGGGCUGCUAGUGAUCUUUUGUCCUGGCGCCCCA
This is a small nuclear RNA of Boleophthalmus pectinirostris (great blue-spotted mudskipper), 134 nucleotides long. RefSeq annotates it as U11 spliceosomal RNA. The transcript has a single exon. The record is from RefSeq and is a predicted model, not a curated record. NCBI's taxonomy places the organism in Eukaryota, Metazoa, Chordata, Actinopteri, Gobiiformes, Gobiidae.